UUAAUCGUUUUCCAUCAUAAGCAAUACAUUUAGAAGCUUUAAAACUAUAAAUUCUUUCUAUAUCACAAGUAAGAUUACAUUGAUCGCAAGACAAUAAACACAACCUUCCACCAUCUUAGGUAAUAGGAGAACUUUGAAGCAAAAAUUGAAAACGAAGGUGUUACAGUUUUGAGAAAGAUGAAAUGGAAUUCCACGUUCGUCUUUAUGAGUUGCUCUUUUGAAAGACUUUGCAAAGAUGCCUUUGGCUGGGUGAUCAAAAAAGUACUAUCUCAAAUCACGAAACGAUUUGGGUUAUGCUGAAACGGAAUGUCAUAUAGGUGGCAGCCCAAACCUUGGAUGUACUGGUAUCGGAUGGACAUUUCUUGAAAACAUAAGUGGAAGCUCCUCAACACUGCCAAAUUUUUCAUCGGGAUGUUACGAUAAAGGAUUUAACGUUGGAGAUGUAAAUUUCAAUCAGGCUCGUUUUGGUAUUGUUUCUGUUAACAGACCAGGAUGUAAUAAUACUGUUGCUCAAGCCAUUGGUGUAGGAAUAAAAAUACAUGGAAGGAAGAAUAUCCGUGUAAAUGGUGUAGUUAACAAUGUGAUGUCACUUAUUUUGCUUCCUACCUAGACUUUAGCUUUUAUGCUCGUUCCCGUCCUCCUAGAAUUUAGCUCUUAAUUCUAAGAUUUUAAUCUGCUAUUAUGCCGCCAGCACUUGCUUAAAUGAUUCCAAUAUA
Long non-coding RNA from Xenia sp. Carnegie-2017, 716 nucleotides. RefSeq lists it as uncharacterized. Lineage: Eukaryota; Metazoa; Cnidaria; Anthozoa; Malacalcyonacea; Xeniidae. The record is from RefSeq and is a predicted model, not a curated record. The transcript has 4 exons.